GGUCAAGCUACAAAGGGCUCACGGUGUAUACCUUGGCACACAGAGGCGAUGAAGGACGUGGUUACCUGCGAUAAGUCUCGGGGAGCUGGAAGCACGCUUUGAUCCGGGAAUUUCCGAAUGGGGCAACCCCUUGUACGGCCA
This 141-nucleotide ribosomal RNA is filed under the name uncultured cyanobacterium. Its description in RNAcentral is "partial 23S ribosomal RNA". It matches the Rfam family "Bacterial large subunit ribosomal RNA", at positions 1 to 141 of the family's 2925-position model. Lineage: Bacteria; Bacillati; Cyanobacteriota. The record is from RNAcentral.